CGCGGUAAUACGUAGGUGGCAAGCGUUAUCCGGAAUUAUUGGGCGUAAAGCGCGCGUAGGCGGUUUUUUAAGUCUGAUGUGAAAGCCCACGGCUCAACCGUGGAGGGUCAUUGGAAACUGGAAAACUUGAGUGCAGAAGAGGAAAGUGGAAUUCCAUGUGUAGCGGUGAAAUGCGCAGAGAUAUGGAGGAACACCAGUGGCGAAGGCGACUUUCUGGUCUGUAACUGACGCUGAUGUGCGAAAGCGUGGGGAUCAAACAGGAUUAGAUACCCUGGUAGUCCACGCCGUAAACGAUGAGUGCUAAGUGUUAGGGGGUUUCCGCCCCUUAGUGCUGCAGCU
Molecule: ribosomal RNA, 339 nt
Filed under: Staphylococcus epidermidis
Lineage: Bacteria; Bacillati; Bacillota; Bacilli; Caryophanales; Staphylococcaceae
Description: bacterial SSU rRNA
Rfam family: Bacterial small subunit ribosomal RNA
Source: RNAcentral